Molecule: non-coding RNA, 29 nt
Filed under: Bombyx mori (domestic silkworm)
Lineage: Eukaryota; Metazoa; Arthropoda; Insecta; Lepidoptera; Bombycidae
Source: RNAcentral
UCACAGUCUCUGAAAUUAUGUUCCCCAGC